Molecule: ribosomal RNA, 497 nt
Filed under: uncultured bacterium
Lineage: Bacteria
Description: partial 16S ribosomal RNA
Rfam family: Bacterial small subunit ribosomal RNA
Source: RNAcentral
GAUGAACGCUGGCGGCGUGCCUAAUACAUGCAAGUCGAGCGAACGGACGAGAAGCUUGCUUCUCUGAUGUUAGCGGCGGACGGGUGAGUAACACGUGGAUAACCUACCUAUAAGACUGGGAUAACUUCGGGAAACCGGAUCUAAUACCGGAUGAUAUUUUGAACCGCAUGGUUCAAAAGUGAAAGACGGUCUUGCUGUCACUUAUAGAUGGAUCCGCGCUGCAUUAGCUAGUUGGUAAGGUAACGGCUUACCAAGGCAACGAUGCAUAGCCGACCUGAGAGGGUGAUCGGCCACACUGGAACUGAGACACGGUCCAGACUCCUACGGGAGGCAGCAGUAGGGAAUCUUCCGCAAUGGGCGAAAGCCUGACGGAGCAACGCCGCGUGAGUGAUGAAGGUUUUCGGAUCGUAAAACUCUGUUAUUAGGGAAGAACAUAUGUGUAAGUAACUGUGCACAUCUUGACGGUACCUAAUCAGAAAGCCACGGCUAACUACGUG